AACGAACGCUGGCGGCAUGCCUAACACAUGCAAGUCGAGCGGGUGAAGCGGGCUUGCUCGUGGAUUCAUCGGCGGACGGGUGAGUAAUGCCUAUGAAUCUGGCUUGACGUGGGGGAUGGCGUCCUAAAACGGGCUCUAAUACCGCAUACGUCGUGUUGUCGAAAUUGGGUGAGCUUGGGUUCGAACGCCUUCAUGGUAGCAUAGGUCGGAUUAAAUAGUUGGUGGGGUAACUGCUUACCAAGGCGACGAUGCAUAACUGGUCUGAGAGGAUGAUCAGUCACACUGGAACUGAGACACGGUCCAGACUCCUACGGGAGGCAGCAGUGGGGAAUAUUGGACAAUGGGCGAAAGCCUGAUACAGCCAUGCCGCGUGUGUGAAGAAGGUCUUCGGAUUGUAAAGCACUUUAAGUUGGGAGGAAGGGCAGUAAGUUAAUACCUUGCUGUUUUGACGUUACCAACAGAAUAAGCACCGGCUAACUUCGUG
RNAcentral lists this ribosomal RNA (484 nucleotides) under uncultured bacterium. RNAcentral's name for it is "partial 16S ribosomal RNA". It matches the Rfam family "Bacterial small subunit ribosomal RNA", at positions 29 to 507 of the family's 1533-position model. The record is from RNAcentral.